GCUGAAGAAAGAUGAUCAAGUACCUAUGAAGAUACCUGAACCAAGAGUAAGGUGGAGAAAAAGGGAUAAAGAUGGUAACAAACUUUAUAAAAGGGCAAGAUCAACAAGAAAUCAAUUACCUAAGACGUCCCACAGUGAGAAGACCAGAUGUCCCUCUCAUCCCUCUAACAUUCAGUGUGAGGCUGCCUUUGCUGCAGAGACUGUUGAGUCUUUUCUACAAGAACUCCAGAGUUC
This is a long non-coding RNA of Cyprinodon tularosa, 234 nucleotides long. RefSeq lists it as uncharacterized. The transcript is spliced from 3 exons. The record is from RefSeq and is a predicted model, not a curated record. Lineage: Eukaryota; Metazoa; Chordata; Actinopteri; Cyprinodontiformes; Cyprinodontidae.